CCUACGGGUGGCAGCAGUGGGGAAUAUUGCACAAUGGGGGAAACUCUGAUGCAGCGACGCAGCGUGCGUGAUGAAGUAAUUCGUUAUGUAAAGCUCCAUCAGCAGGGAAGAAAAUGACGGUACCUGUGUAAGAAGCCCCGGCUAACUACGUGCCAGCAGCCGCGGUAAUACGUAGGGGGCCAGCGUUAUCCGGAUUUACUGGGUGUAAAGGGAGCGUAGACGGCAGUGCAAGUCUGGAGUGAAAGGCGGGGGCUCAACCCCCGGACUGCGCUGGAAACUGUACGGCUGGAGUGCAGGAGAGGUAAGUGGAAUGCCUAGUGUAGCGGUGAAAUGCGUAGAUAUUAGGAGGAACACCAGUGGCGAAGGCGGCUUACUGGACUGUAACUGACGUUGAGGCUCGAAAGCGUGGGGAGCAAACAGGAUUAGAUACCCGAGUAGUC
Molecule: ribosomal RNA, 440 nt
Filed under: uncultured bacterium
Lineage: Bacteria
Description: partial 16S ribosomal RNA
Rfam family: Bacterial small subunit ribosomal RNA
Source: RNAcentral